GUUUAUACUAUAUGGUUACAAAGAGAACUUAAUAUUUUCCAAAAGGUUUCAUGCCUGAUCAUUGCCAUGUUGCUAGAUCUUAAGUGAUAUGUUUCAUAUACAUAUCUGUUGGAUUAUUAGACUAUAUGGUUAUACUAGUGUCAUUUAUCUGUCUGAAGGAUAUAGGUAUUUGUAUUACUUUUAUCUUUUAUAGACUCAUAUCUUCUUAUUCUUGGGCAAAAAAUCUUUGAGCCCAAAUUAGUUUAUACACGUGUUUUAUUUUUAAUAGAAUUUCUUGUACUCAUCAGUUAUGAUGACAGCCACUUAAUAUAGUUGGUAUUCCGAGUUUUGGAGUAACAAUGUUGAGAAAGAUGCGACUCAGAAUAUUCAAAAUUUGAAGAAGUUGGAGAUGUUUUGCCUUAAUGAUGUGUGGUGAGUCAAUUGGUGUAGAGCUCUGUCCUAGUAAAGUCGGUUGGCCUUAUUAAAAUAAUACGCAUUGUAAAGAAAAUGAUUCUAAGUAACAUCCGAAACUUGAAAUGGUAGGGAAAAAGGUUUUAGAUAAGUACAAAGGUUUCCUUUAGUUCUUAAGACAGUUACUAGUUUAUUAAGUUCCGAAUAAGAGGGUGAAGAGUACAAUUUGGUAGGAAGUGAAUGUGGAGGCUCACAUAUUUGACUUUUCAAAUCUCCACUCUCCAACCUCUGAGCUUAAUAGGCCCACAAAUGUCUUUAGAGCUAAGGGCAAACCUUUGCACUUUUCUGCAAAUUUGUUUCCAACCUCUUUUCUUAGAAUCCAUGUUUUCAAAUGCGCGUCUUUUUUAUGAAGACAAACAACUUCACUGGACAGAGUUCCCACAUUAAUUGGCCACUACCCAUCAUCUAAACAACACUUUUCUUAUGCGAAUUGGCUCACUUUGACACCUCAACUACAAUGACAACCUCAUGGAAGAGUGCGAAGAUUCCAAAUUUAUAAGCAGACUUCAUCGAGAAAGAUGCAACAUGGAACUGUGAGUUAUGUGCUCCUGACUAACUUUCUUGACUUUUGGAGUUCGUGCACCAUGCUUUUUAUUGUCAUUCUCCAUUACUCUCUUCUUCCUUUUCCCAAUCUCACCCCAACCAAUCUGUAAAGUCAAUUUCCUUCUCUUCCUUGCAAGAUUUCAUAGUUUGUGCAGAAAAUUCUCAUCUCCUGUAAUAUAAAAGUUUAGGUUUACUAAGAAGUUUGGGUAAGUAGUAGCUGUGGUUAAAAUUUGAUCACCUUCUACUUUGUAAAGUUACAGAAGUAAUUAGUUGAUUAUUUUAAUGUAUGCUUCCCUAGAAUUUAUAGGGUGAUAAGGAAAAUUUUGAUGCCGUGAAUGUUGGAUGACAUGAUUUUCAAAGAUGGAAGCAUUUUAGAUUUAUGGUAGGGAUUUGCAUUAUUACUACACGUCACGGUUCUGGAGGUAAUGUAGUCCGUGGCUCUACUAUAUUUCUUUGAUACUUCAAAUUCAAGUGUAUAAUGUUGUUCCUUUGUAAUUUCAUAUGGGGAAACUAGUUCUUGUGAAAUCACAAUGAAAGGUCAUAAGUCAUAACGAGUGAAAAUUGAUUUUCUAUAUAUCAUAGACUUAUUUUUGAAGGCAUUGCAGAUAAAUUCUCUCCCACUUGUGGGAUUACACUGGAUUUGUUGCAGAUAAAUUCAAUGUUACUGUAAGUAGAAUUGUCAUCGUUUAGUGUUUCGUAGAGCUGAGUGGAUGCUGAAACUUUACUUUUAUUUUUUUACCCUGUAGUUUUCUUUUGCAAUAAAAUGUUAUAUAUACUGAAUUUAGACUGCUGAGACAAAGGCAUUUUGCUGGAAUACUGUACAAACAUAUCUACCAUGGAUUUGCACAGCCCAAGAGAAGGCCAACUGGUUUUGGAAGACUAUACAGUAGCCCUGUAGUUGUGGCACCCGUGAAGAGUUGGAGAAUGAUUUAAGAUCAACGGAGUUUCUAAGAAUUAAAGAAUGAACGAGAUAAAUGCUCAUCAUAGCAAAAGCUUGAAAAUAAUGUAUUUGGAGCUUGGUUUGUUGAAGAGACGCAGGCAACCACGUCUCCAAAAGGCAUUAACCAUCUUCUAGUACUUCGAAAAUUUGAAGAUAGUGAUAAUGUAUUGUAAGCCUGGAUUAGUCCAUCAAAACUUAGUCCUCUCCAAUGGUAGAUCAAUGAUUGUCUUGUUCAUCAGCUGUUACGGUGAACUUUUAACGAUUGAAUGUGCAUGCGUUUUGUAUA
Nicotiana tabacum (common tobacco) is the source of this 2219-nucleotide non-coding RNA. The record is from RefSeq and is a predicted model, not a curated record. NCBI's taxonomy places the organism in Eukaryota, Viridiplantae, Streptophyta, Magnoliopsida, Solanales, Solanaceae.